Molecule: long non-coding RNA, 1320 nt
Filed under: Lathyrus oleraceus (garden pea)
Lineage: Eukaryota; Viridiplantae; Streptophyta; Magnoliopsida; Fabales; Fabaceae
Description: Pisum sativum (pea) long non-coding RNA (PSAT_LNC028995)
Source: RNAcentral
UUCCGUAUGUAUAUAAGUCAAGCUUCAUUUUGUGUAAAAGUAGUUGUAACUAAAUUUUGAUUUCAGUGAAAAGUUAGUUACAAUUUUCUCUCUUCUCUCUCUUCCAUCUCAAUCAUCUUUAUCCUUUUGUGCAUCAACAAAAUCUCGGACUUAACAAAAAUGGAAGCAAAUCUUAUAAUAAGUUAUAGAAUCACACACCGAAUCAAAUGAGGCAAAAUCAAACUUUUCAAAAAAAAAAAUCAUCUUAUUAUAUAAUUUUAGUUGAAGUAAAAUUUAAGUGUGUUGCUUUCCACGGGUUAAAAUAUGCUUCUUUAUCUAAGAAGAAGAGACAUUGAUUAUUAAAUUAUUUUUUUAAUUUAUUAUUUUUUUAGAGUUACAUGACACUAGCUUAAGGGUAGAAAACAUUUGUAAUUUUAGUUCAUUUUUUUUUAAUUUUUUUUUCAGGUUGAGUUUAUGUUUCCAAUUUUUAGUUUGAUUUUAACUUUUUUUUUAAUCAUAAAAAAAAUCACAAUUACAUGCAUACAUUAUUUUCGAACAAAAGAAGGCCACCAAACAAUCACAGUAAUUAACAACUUGUCACCAACUCAAUUAGUGUUUUUUUUACGGUAUACACAAAUACAAUUAAACUACGAAAAAAUUCAUGAAUUGAAACGGGUACACGACCAACUGGCCAAUGAUAGAUGUUUGCAAGAAAUGGAAGUUUUUGAUUUGUUCCCGUUAUUAGAACAAUAAAUCAAUUAGAAGGUGUUGAGAAAACUGAAAAAAAAAACUACAAUUUAUUUAAAUAACAAAGAUCAACAAACUAAUAAGAAGCUUUGUACAACAUGUUUGAUAGCAAAUAAAAGUCAUAACUCACAAGUGCAACAACAACAACAAAAGAAAACAUUGUUGAGAAAGAAUCAAGAUAGUUGAACACAUCUUGAAGAGAAAAUGGAAGAAACAUUAUGAAACAAGCCAACCACAAUCCCCAUUUUCACUUGGCCUCUCUUUGGAAUCAUACGACUCUUGUUGGUUAAAUUACUUUUGUACAUCAAAUCUCUUCUUGUUAUCACAACCAAACCCAUCUUUCCCUUCAUCUUCUUUCUUUUUUCGAUAGAGUUUCACUCACAACAAGAGUCAAGAGGUUUCUCUUUAGCUAGCUGUAUAUUGUGUAUUUUACACUUCACUUCACUUAUAUAGAAUUUUAGUGCUUGAGCUAAAACCUUAGAAUAAUUUAAUUGUAAAAAUUUUGUAUUUAUCUUCUUGAAUACGAUGUCGUUGUCACGUGGAGUUGUGGGUUUUGAAUUGUUUAUUAUUGAUGGCAAUUUUGACCUUGCUUUC